AGUGAGGAAUAUUGNNNNNNNGUCGAAAGACUGAUCCAGCCAUGCCGCGUGCAGGAUGAAUGCCCUAUGGGUUGUAAACUGCUUUUAUACGGGAAGAACACCACCCACGUGUGGGUGACUGACGGUACCGUAAGAAUAAGGACCGGCUAACUCCGUGCCAGCAGCCGCGGUAAUACGGAGGGUCCAAGCGUUAUCCGGAAUCAUUGGGUUUAAAGGGUCCGUAGGCGGGCUAUUAAGUCAGAGGUGAAAGUUUGCAGCUCAACUGUAAAAUUGCCUUUGAUACUGGUAGUCUUGAGUUAUAGUGAAGUGGUUAGAAUAUGUGGUGUAGCGGUGAAAUGCAUAGAUAUCACAUAGAAUACCAAUUGCGAAGGCAGAUCACUAACUAUAUACUGACGCUGAUGGACGAAAGCGUGGGGAGCGAACGGGAUUAGAUACCCCGGUAGUCCACGCCGUAAACGAUGGAUACUAGCUGUUGGAAUUUUUCAGUGGCUAAGCGAAAGUGAUAAGUAUCCCACCUGGGGAGUACGUUCGCAAGAAUG
This 539-nucleotide ribosomal RNA is filed under the name uncultured bacterium. RNAcentral describes it as "bacterial SSU rRNA". It matches the Rfam family "Bacterial small subunit ribosomal RNA", at positions 353 to 896 of the family's 1533-position model. The record is from RNAcentral.